This 77-nucleotide transfer RNA is filed under the name Celeribacter marinus. RNAcentral describes it as "tRNA-Ile". It matches the Rfam family "tRNA". Rfam says of the family: Transfer RNA (tRNA) molecules are approximately 80 nucleotides in length. Their secondary structure includes four short double-helical elements and three loops (D, anti-codon, and T loops). Further hydrogen bonds mediate the characteristic L-shaped molecular structure. tRNAs have two regions of fundamental functional importance: the anti-codon, which is responsible for specific mRNA codon recognition, and the 3' end, to which the tRNAs corresponding amino acid is attached (by aminoacyl-tRNA synthetases). tRNAs cope with the degeneracy of the genetic code in two manners: having more than one tRNA (with a specific anti-codon) for a particular amino acid; and 'wobble' base-pairing, i.e. permitting non-standard base-pairing at the 3rd anti-codon position. The record is from RNAcentral. Lineage: Bacteria; Pseudomonadati; Pseudomonadota; Alphaproteobacteria; Rhodobacterales; Roseobacteraceae. RNAcentral also lists the same sequence under 12 other names.
GGGUCGGUAGCUCAGCUGGUUAGAGCGCACGCCUGAUAAGCGUGAGGUCGGAGGUUCAAGUCCUCCUCGACCCACCA